CUUGACGGUACUGUAAGAAUAAGGAUCGGCUAACUCCGUGCCAGCAGCCGCGGUAAUACGGAGGAUCCAAGCGUUAUCCGGAAUCAUUGGGUUUAAAGGGUCCGUAGGCGGUUUUAUAAGUCAGUGGUGAAAUCUCCCCGCUCAACGGGGAAACGGCCAUUGAUACUGUAAGACUUGAAUUAUUAGGAAGUAACUAGAAUAUGUAGUGUAGCGGUGAAAUGCUUAGAGAUUACAUGGAAUACCAA
RNAcentral lists this ribosomal RNA (245 nucleotides) under uncultured Flavobacterium sp. RNAcentral's name for it is "partial 16S ribosomal RNA". It matches the Rfam family "Bacterial small subunit ribosomal RNA", at positions 468 to 712 of the family's 1533-position model. The record is from RNAcentral. Lineage: Bacteria; Pseudomonadati; Bacteroidota; Flavobacteriia; Flavobacteriales; Flavobacteriaceae.